RNAcentral lists this ribosomal RNA (492 nucleotides) under uncultured bacterium. RNAcentral describes it as "partial 16S ribosomal RNA". It matches the Rfam family "Bacterial small subunit ribosomal RNA", at positions 29 to 507 of the family's 1533-position model. The record is from RNAcentral.
AAUGAACGCUGGCGGCAGGCCUAACACAUGCAAGUCGAGCGGCCGCACGGGAAGAGCGCGCUCGUGCGGGUAGCGAGUGGCGGACGGGUGAGGAAUACAUAGGAACCUACUGUUACUGGGGGGAUUACGGAGGAAAACUUAUGCUAGAACCGCAUAUCACGUACGGGUUAAACCAGGGUUGCUUCGGACCUUGGUCGGUUCAUUGAGACGAGGUCGGAUUAGCUAGUUGGGGUGGUAAAGGCAUACCAUGGCAACGAUCCGUAGCUGGUCUGACAGGGUGAUCCGCCACACUGGAACUGAGACACGGUCCAGACUCCUACGGGAGGAAGCAGUCGGGAAUCUUACGCAAGGGGCGAAAGCCUGAUCCAGCAAUACCGCGUGAGUGAUGAAGGCCUUCGGGUUGGAAAGCCCUGUUGUUGGGAAAGAAGAACAGCAGGUUCAGCUGCGGAUGUUAUGACGGUACCAAAAGAAUAAGCCCCGGCUAACUUCGUG